AUUGAACGCUGGCGGCAGGCCUUACACAUGCAAGUCGAGCGAGCGGCGGACGGGUGAGUAAUGACUAGGAAGGUGCCUGGUAGCGGGGGGUAACUACCGGAAAGGGGAGCUAAUACCGCAUACUAUUAGAGCGGCCCAUAUGGGAUUAGCUAGAUGGUGGGGUAACGGCUCACCAAGGCGACGAUCCCUAGCUGGUUUGAGAGGACGACCAGCCACACUGGAACUGAGACACGGUCCAGACUCCUACGGGAGGCAGCAGUGGGGAAUAUUGCACAAUGGGCGCAAUCCUGAUGCAGCCAUGCCGCGUGUGUGAAGAAGGCCUUCGGGUUGUAAAGCACUUUCAGCAGGGAGGCGUUACCCGCAGAAUAAGCACCGGCUAACUCCGUGCCAGCAGCCGCGGUAAUAC
Molecule: ribosomal RNA, 406 nt
Filed under: uncultured bacterium
Lineage: Bacteria
Description: partial 16S ribosomal RNA
Rfam family: Bacterial small subunit ribosomal RNA
Source: RNAcentral